This is a non-coding RNA of Parelaphostrongylus tenuis, 71 nucleotides long. NCBI's taxonomy places the organism in Eukaryota, Metazoa, Nematoda, Chromadorea, Rhabditida, Metastrongylidae. The record is from the annotation of a GenBank genome assembly.
ACCUUGUUGGUGUAGUGGUAGCACGCGUCCCCGGAAUGGAUGGGACGCUGGUUCGACUUCCGCCUGAGGUC